AUGAACGCAUCAGAAAAUAAUAACUAUAUAAAAAAUUCUGUUGAUAAUAUGACAGAACUAGUAAAAAACGAAGAUAAAUAUAAUUGUAACAAUUUGAAUGUUAAGUUAGAGAAAUGUCAAACAAAUGGUGAUAGUACUACACUAGGAGUAAAUGAUUCUUCUAAAAUGUUAUCACAUAUGUCACCCAAUGACAAUAUUUUAUUUUCGAAACAAUCAGGUGAAAAUAUGCAACAACUGGGUGGACAACUGGGUGGACAACUGGGUGGACAACUGGGUGGACAACUGGGUGGACAGCUGAGUGAACAACUGAGUGAACAACCAGAUGACUGGCUUUUUCAAGGUCUAAAUUACGUAAAAUUUUUUAAAGAUGCCGAAAAAAAUAAAUUAAUAAAAAAUGUAUUUGGUGAUUUUAAAUAUGAAAUACAGUUACAUAAUAUACAUUUAUGUUUAUUUUUAUUACCUUUAAAAAAUUAUUUUAUUAAUUUAAAAAAUGGAGUAAAAACAGAAUAUAUUGUUGAAUAUAUAAUUCGCGAAUCGUUAAAGUUUCCAUUAAAAUAUUCAAAAUUCUGUGUUUCUAUUUAUGAAGGUUUUCAACCUUUAUAUGAAUUGUAUACAAAUGAUACUAUUUUUUCUGUUUUACAAAAUAUGAGUGAUGAGAAAGGAAGUGGUCAUAUAGACGAAACAUAUGGUGUUCGAAAAAGUGAUGUCGGUGAUAAGGAUAAUGUCUGUGAUAAGGAUAAUGUCGGUGAUAAGGCUAAUGUCUGUGAUAAGGAUAAUGUCGGUGAUAAGGCUAAUCUGAGCAAGGAUAGUAACAGUAAAACUAAUAAUUCAACGCGUAUAAUAGGCGACAUAGUUUUAUUUUUAAAAAAAGUUGGAGAGAAUUGGAAUUUAUUAUUAUUAGUUUUUUAUAUAUUUCAAAAAUAUAAUGAAAUAAAUAAUAACUAUAUAACAUGGAUUAAAAAUGAUAUAUAUUUAUCAGAUUUUGUUAAAAAAUUAUAUCAAUAUAUUUUAAAAAAUAAAUUACAAGAUAGUUAUAAAAUCAAGCCCUUUUUAAAAUGGCCAGACAUAAAACAUAACUUUCCUGAUAUUCCUUUGACUCGGAUAAAUGAAAUUUACGAGCAAAUAGUUAGAAACAAAAAAAAAAAAAAAUAAAAUAAUUAAACAUAUAAAAAAUGUAUUCUUCUAUAUGAAUAUGGAUGUGUAUAUGAAUGUGUAUAUUAAUAUGAAUAUUAAUAUGAAUAUUAAUAUGAAUAUUAAUAUAAUAGAAUAAAAAAAAUAAAAAAAAACUUAAAAAAAACUUA
Long non-coding RNA from Piliocolobus tephrosceles (Ugandan red Colobus), 1301 nucleotides. Lineage: Eukaryota; Metazoa; Chordata; Mammalia; Primates; Cercopithecidae. The record is from Ensembl.